This 510-nucleotide ribosomal RNA is filed under the name uncultured bacterium. Its description in RNAcentral is "partial 16S ribosomal RNA". It matches the Rfam family "Bacterial small subunit ribosomal RNA", at positions 28 to 507 of the family's 1533-position model. The record is from RNAcentral.
GACGAACGCUGGCGGCGUGCUUAACACAUGCAAGUCGAACGAAGAGCGAUGGAAGCUUGCUUCUAUCACUCUUAGUGGCGAACGGGUGAGUAACGCGUAAUCAACCUGCCCUUCAGAGGGGGACAACAGUUGGAAACGACUGCUAAUACCGCAUACGAUCUAAUCUCGGCAUCGAGGAUAGAUGAAAGGUGGCCUCUACAUGUAAGCUAUCACUGAAGGAGGGGAUUGCGUCUGAUUAGCUAGUUGGAGGGGUAACGGCCCACCAAGGCGAUGAUCAGUAGCCGGUCUGAGAGGAUGAACGGCCACAUUGGGACUGAGACACGGCCCAGACUCCUACGGGAGGCAGCAGUGGGGAAUCUUCCGCAAUGGACGAAAGUCUGACGGAGCAACGCCGCGUGAGUGAUGACGGCCUUCGGGUUGUAAAGCUCUGUUAAUCGGGACGAAAGGCCUUCUUGCGAAUAGUGAGAAGGAUUGACGGUACCGGAAUAGAAAGCCACAGCUAACUACGUG